Long non-coding RNA from Sander lucioperca (pikeperch), 728 nucleotides. RefSeq lists it as uncharacterized. The record is from RefSeq and is a predicted model, not a curated record. Lineage: Eukaryota; Metazoa; Chordata; Actinopteri; Perciformes; Percidae. The transcript has 4 exons.
GAAAGCUGACUGUCAUUCCACCAGAAGCAGAGGGGUAUUCUGUCAAAGCUCUGCGAGCUCCAUCAGCAGGGGGCAAAGCCACUUUUUACAUCGUACCACUCCAGGAGACUUUAGACACCUCUCCUCUGCCUCCUGACUCACAGCAUUUUUCAAAAAUGCCAAAGAAGACAUGCUACCAGUGUAAUGAGGUGAUGCCUUUGCAUAUGCUUGCAGUACACAUUAAGACAUGCAAGGGAAAACUCUCCUCCGAUGAGACUGGUGAAGAGUCCUCUGAUGAGUUAUGGGUUGUGGAGAAGUGCAAGGUGGUUUGUCCAAUUUGCACCAAAGAAUUCCCAGACGAUGAGAUCACAUUCCAUGCUAGCCUAUGUGGAGAGAGCUUUGAAUGUACAGUGACUUCUGAAGCAAAUGGCAGUGGCCUAAGUACGCAUGCUCAAACUCCAGUAUGUAAACCAAGAAGGUAUGUUUUAUUUAGAUGCCCUUUGUGUGAGUUUAUAUCAAAUACAUAAAUAUUUAUGUGCACCAUAAUUUACACAAUUUAUGUUUUCAUGUUUUUUAGCCAUCUUAUCCAGACAUCAUAUUCUAUCAAAUGAUUUAACACAGCACAUGGUGCAGUAAUUUAUAAUCACAUGUAAUUUGAUUCUUUUCCAAACACUGUUAAGCAUACUGCUUGAUGGAACUUUGAAAUGGCAAUAAUGUAUACGAAUUGUUUUUGAUAAUUUGGGACUAUC